AGUGAACGCUGGCGGUAGGCCUAACCCCUGCCCGUCGAACGGCAGCACAGUAAGAGCUUGCUCUUACGGGUGGCGAGUGGCGGACGGGUGAGGCAUACAUCGGACUCUACUUUUUCGUGGGGGAUAACGUAGGGAAACUUACGCUAAUACCGCAUACGACCUACGGGUGACAGCAGGGGAUCUUCGGACCUUGCGCGAUUGCAUGAGCCGAUGUCGGAUUAGCUAGUUGGCGGGGUAAAGGCCCACCAAGGCGACGAUCCGUAGCUGGUCUGAGAGGAUGAUCAGCCACACUGGAACUGAGACACGGUCCAGACUCCUACGGGAGGCAGCAGUGGGGAAUAUUGGACAAUGGGCGCAAGCCUGAUCCAGCCAUACCGCGUGGGUGAAGAAGGCCUUCGGGUUGUAAAGCCCUUUUGUUGGGAAAGAAAAGCAGCAGGUUAAUACCCCGCUGUUCUGACGGUACCCAAAGAAUAAGCACCGGCUAACUUCGUG
Molecule: ribosomal RNA, 492 nt
Filed under: uncultured bacterium
Lineage: Bacteria
Description: partial 16S ribosomal RNA
Rfam family: Bacterial small subunit ribosomal RNA
Source: RNAcentral